ACGCUCGACACCUACGGGAGCAGCAGUAGGGAAUCUUCCACAAUGGACGCAAGUCUGAUGGAGCAACGCCGCGUGAGUGAAGAAGGUCUUCGGAUCGUAAAACUCUGUUGUUAGAGAAGAACACGAGUGAGAGUAACUGUUCAUUCGAUGACGGUAUCUAACCAGCAAGUCACGGCUAACUACGUACCAGCAGCCGCGGUAAUCUGAGCGGGCUGGCAAGGC
This 222-nucleotide ribosomal RNA is filed under the name uncultured bacterium. Its description in RNAcentral is "partial 16S ribosomal RNA". It matches the Rfam family "Bacterial small subunit ribosomal RNA", at positions 328 to 539 of the family's 1533-position model. The record is from RNAcentral.